CGGGACACGUGGUAUCCUGUCUGAAUAUGGGGGGACCAUCCUCCAAGGCUAAAUACUCCUGACUGACCGAUAGUGAACCAGUACCGUGAGGGAAAGGCGAAAAGAACCCCGGCGAGGGGAGUGAAAAAGAACCUGAAACCGUGUACGUACAAGCAGUGGGAGCACCUUCGGGUGUGACUGCGUACCUUUUGUAUAAUGGGUCAGCGACUUAUAUUCUGUAGCAAGGUUAACCGUAUAGGGGAGCCGCAGGGAAACCGAGUCUUAACUGGGCGUUAAGUUGCAGGGUAUAGACCCGAAACCCGGUGAUCUAGCCAUGGGCAGGUUGAAGGUUGGGUAACACUAACUGGAGGACCGAACCGACUAAUGUUGAAAAAUUAGCGGAUGACUUGUGGCUGGGGGUGAAAGGCCAAUCAAACCGGGAGAUAGCUGGUUCUCCCCGAAAGCU
RNAcentral lists this ribosomal RNA (445 nucleotides) under Klebsiella pneumoniae. Its description in RNAcentral is "partial 23S ribosomal RNA". It matches the Rfam family "Bacterial large subunit ribosomal RNA", at positions 418 to 867 of the family's 2925-position model. RNAcentral also lists the same sequence under 1 other name. The record is from RNAcentral. Lineage: Bacteria; Pseudomonadati; Pseudomonadota; Gammaproteobacteria; Enterobacterales; Enterobacteriaceae.